This 497-nucleotide ribosomal RNA is filed under the name uncultured bacterium. RNAcentral's name for it is "partial 16S ribosomal RNA". It matches the Rfam family "Bacterial small subunit ribosomal RNA", at positions 28 to 507 of the family's 1533-position model. The record is from RNAcentral.
GAUGAACGCUGGCGGCGUGCCUAAUACAUGCAAGUCGAGCGAACGGACGAGAAGCUUGCUUCUCUGAUGUUAGCGGCGGACGGGUGAGUAACACGUGGAUAACCUACCUAUAAGACUGGGAUAACUUCGGGAAACCGGAGCUAAUACCGGAUGAUAUUUUGAACCGCAUGGUUCAAAAGUGAAAGACGGUCUUGCUGUCACUUAUAGAUGGAUCCGCGCUGCAUUAGCUAGUUGGUAAGGUAACGGCUUACCAAGGCGACGAUGCAUAGCCGACCUGAGAGGCGGAUCGCCCACAUGGGAACGGGGACACGGUCCAGACUCCUACGGGAGGCAGCAGUAGGGAAUGUUCGGCAAUGGGCGAAAGCCUGACGGAGCAACGCCGCGUGAGUGAUGACGGUCUUCGGAUCGUAAAACUCUGUUAUUGGGGAAAAACAUAUGUGUAAGUAACUGUGCACAUCUUGACGGUACCUAAUCAGAAAGCAACGGCUAACUACGUG